Molecule: unclassified non-coding RNA, 342 nt
Filed under: soil metagenome
Description: partial contains 5.8S ribosomal RNA, internal transcribed spacer 2, and large subunit ribosomal RNA
Rfam family: 5.8S ribosomal RNA (bases 1-120)
Source: RNAcentral
GAUGAAGAACGUAGCGAAAUGCGAUAAGUAAUGUGAAUUGCAGAAUUCAGUGAAUCAUCGAAUCUUUGAACGCACAUUGCGCCCGCCAGCAUUCUGGCGGGCAUGCCUGUUCGAGCGUCAUUUCAACCCUCGAGCCCCCCCGGGGGCCUCGGUGUUGGGGGACGGCACACCAGCCGCCCCCGAAAUGCAGUGGCGACCUCGCCGCAGCCUCCCCUGCGUAGUAGCACACACCUCGCACCGGAGCGCGGAGACGGUCACGCCGUAAAACGCCCAACUUCGUAGAGUUGACCUCGGAUCAGGUAGGAAUACCCGCUGAACUUAAGCAUAUCAAUAAGCGGAGUA